CCAAGCCCUGCACCCAGCAUGCUCACAGCUGUACCCUUCUUCCUUUUUAGAAUCCUUAAAUUCCACGAGCUUAAUUUGUUUUUCUUGAAAUUUUCUGUUUAAUGUGAGACAGAAGAAAGACCCUAAAUUUGGGGUUAUUUCAGCCAAGUUUUUCUGAAACAUAGCCCCUUAAUUUUUUUAAGGCAUCGYCAAGUCCUCAGACUCUAAGACUUUGUCUUGCUUGCACGUGGCAUUGGGGCAAGGCUCCUGGCCCCUCAGCUGAUGUCAGUCGCUCGGCUCACAUACCCUGCUGUGCCCAGGCCGUGCUCUGACCCAUCACACGAACCAAGUGACGGCUCCUUUCCCGCCUCACAAGCCGUGGGAUGCCCUUGAGAGCAACGCAAUCCGAGACACGUGAAAACUCAGAAAACACAAUGCUCAGACCGAUGUCUAUGAAACACUUUUCCAGUCUGCAGAAACGGUUCUGAGGAACGAACGAAACCUCAGUUCGCAGCGUGCGAGUAGACUGAGUUUCCCAAAGAGCAGAACUACAGAGAGCAAUGUGCAUUUUAGCCUAGUCAUCCAAAACACUGACAACAAGGAGUGCCAAGCUGCUCCUCAUCAGAUUGUCACUAAUGAACACGAGCCUUCAGAAACAGAACCAACUCAGGUUCACCUAGGACUGCACACUUAUCUUUCCUGCGGGCCCUACCGUUAGGCUUUCUGAGCAAGAUUCAGUUUCUUCCUCAGUUACUGAGAUUAUGCAGUGGCUCUGUUUCCUUAGAAGAUACUUCAGCAGACCACUUUCUCCCCUUGACUUCCUAUUAGACUGCAGUGUAUGAUUCUACAUAAAGUAGUGGCUGGAGACUGGUAAC
This 854-nucleotide long non-coding RNA is filed under the name Apteryx rowi (Okarito brown kiwi). Its description in RNAcentral is "lncRNA (ENSARWG00000010372.1)". Lineage: Eukaryota; Metazoa; Chordata; Aves; Apterygiformes; Apterygidae. The record is from RNAcentral.